UUUAAGUGUAACUGUGCCCUUUUUUUUUUUCCAAAGUUUGACCGUCUAUCUUAUUUGAAAUUUUUUAUGUUUAGUAUUUUUACUAUUAUUAGAUGAUAAAAUAUGAAUAACACUUUAUACGUGACUUAUUAUUUUUUAUUUUUAUAAUUUUUAGAUAAGAGGAACAAUCAAACAUUAUAUAUAGAAACCCAUGCACUUAAA
This 201-nucleotide microRNA precursor is filed under the name Oryza glumipatula. Its description in RNAcentral is "MIR812 microRNA precursor family". It matches the Rfam family "MIR812 microRNA precursor family". Lineage: Eukaryota; Viridiplantae; Streptophyta; Magnoliopsida; Poales; Poaceae. The record is from Rfam by way of RNAcentral.